AAAGGGUAGCAAUACCUGAGUAAAGUGGCGCACGGGUGAGUAACACGUGACUAACCUACCCUGGAGUGGGGGAUAACUGAGGGAAACCUUAGCUAAUACCGCAUAAUACCUACGGGUCAAAGGAGCAAUUCGCUUCAGGAGGGGGUCGCGGCCGAUUAGUUAGUUGGCGGGGUAAUGGCCCACCAAGACAGUGAUCGGUAUCCGGCCUGAGAGGGCGCACGGACACACUGGAACUGAAACACGGUCCAGACUCCUACGGGAGGCAGCAGUGGGGAAUUUUGCGCAAUGGGGGAAACCCUGACGCAGCAACGCCGCGUGGAGGACGAAGUCCUUCGGGACGUAAACUCCUUUCGAUCGGGACGAUUAUGACGGUACCGGAAGAAGAAGCCCCGGCUAACUUCGUGCCAGCAGCCGCGGUAAUACGAGGGGGGCGAGCGUUGUUCGGAAUUAUUGGGCGUAAAGGGUGCGUAGGCGGUUUUGUAAGUCUUAUGUGAAAUCUAUGGGCUCAACUCAUAGACUGCAUGAGAAACUGCAGGGCUUGAGUAUGGGAGAGGUGAGUGGAAUUCCUGGUGUAGCGGUGAAAUGCGUAGAUAUCAGGAGGAACACCUGUGGCGAAAGCGGCUCACUGGACCAUAACUGACGCUGAUGCACGAAAGCUAGGGGAGCAAACAGGAUUAGAUACCCUGGUAGUCCUAGCCCUAAACGAUGACUGCUUGGUGUGACGGGUACCCAAUCCCGCCGUGCCGUAGCUAACGCGUUAAGCAGUCCGCCUGGGGAGUACGGUCGCAAGGCUGAAACUC
This 800-nucleotide ribosomal RNA is filed under the name uncultured Pseudomonadota bacterium. RNAcentral describes it as "bacterial SSU rRNA". It matches the Rfam family "Bacterial small subunit ribosomal RNA", at positions 71 to 902 of the family's 1533-position model. Lineage: Bacteria; Pseudomonadati; Pseudomonadota. The record is from RNAcentral.